This 494-nucleotide long non-coding RNA is filed under the name Cricetulus griseus (Chinese hamster). Its description in RNAcentral is "lncRNA (ENSCGRG00015030599.1)". Lineage: Eukaryota; Metazoa; Chordata; Mammalia; Rodentia; Cricetidae. The record is from RNAcentral.
CAUUCUCUUCCAUCAGUCACUAUGACUCAGGUCCACCAGGCCAGAGCAUGAAAUCUGGAAUGUGUGUAUGGCACGUCAGCUUCCCCAAAUAACACAGCACACUUCAUCAUCUGAGUGCAAACUAGCUCCAGAAACUCUACCCUGCAAAAGUCACAGGGUGGUGACUACAGACCUGCUAGUCCUCUAGAAGAGUUAUAGAGGCAAGGUGAAUUAAUGCAAGAUGUUGGAGAUUCUCUGGUAGACCAGAUCGUCUACUCUAGGACCUGUUGGGGAGCUGGAAAGAAGAAAUCAAAAGAAGGAAUUCUGGAAGCUUCAGUGAGAUAACCCAAUCACAAAAAGAUAAACAUGAUCCUGAUGGCAAUAACUGUUCAUGACAUUGAACCAGCCAUGGAAGCCUUCUGUGAGUCUGUUUCCCCAGGCUGCAAAUGAGACUGAUGACACCUGCUUCACGUUUAAUAGUGUUUGAUAUGUAUUAGGUAGUCAAUAAAUAAUAG